UGUAGUUUCAUGCGUUCUACC
RNAcentral lists this non-coding RNA (21 nucleotides) under Arabidopsis thaliana (thale cress). The record is from RNAcentral. Lineage: Eukaryota; Viridiplantae; Streptophyta; Magnoliopsida; Brassicales; Brassicaceae.